UACCAGCACCCCGAGUGGUCGGGACGAUUAUUGGGCCUAAAGCAUCCGUAGCCGGCCUUACAAGUCCUCCGUUAAAUCCAGCUGUUUAACAGAUGGGCUGCGGAGGAUACUAUAAGACUAGGAGGCAGGAGAGGCAAGCGGUACUCAGUGGGUAGGGGUAAAAUCCGUUGAUCCAUUGAAGACCACCAGUGGCGAAGGCGGCUUGCCAGAAUGCGCUCGACGGUGAGGGAUGAAAGCUGGGGGAGCAAACCGG
Molecule: ribosomal RNA, 253 nt
Filed under: uncultured bacterium
Lineage: Bacteria
Description: partial 16S ribosomal RNA
Rfam family: Archaeal small subunit ribosomal RNA
Source: RNAcentral